This 492-nucleotide ribosomal RNA is filed under the name uncultured bacterium. RNAcentral describes it as "partial 16S ribosomal RNA". It matches the Rfam family "Bacterial small subunit ribosomal RNA", at positions 29 to 507 of the family's 1533-position model. The record is from RNAcentral.
AGUGAACGCUGGCGGUAGGCCUAACACAUGCAAGUCGAACGGCAGCACAGUAAGAGCUUGCUCUUACGGGUGGCGAGUGGCGGACGGGUGAGGAAUACAUCGGAAUCUACUUUUUCGUGGGGGAUAACGUAGGGAAACUUACGCUAAUACCGCAUACGACCUACGGGUGAAAGCAGGGGAUCUUCGGACCUUGCGCGAUUGAAUGAGCCGAUGUCGGAUUAGCUAGUUGGCGGGGUAAAGGCCCACCAAGGCGACGAUCCGUAGCUGGUCUGAGAGGAUGAUCAGCCACACUGGAACUGAGACACGGACCAGACUCCUACGGGAGGCAGCAGUGGGGAAUAUUGGACAAUGGGCGAAAGCCUGAACCAGCAAUACCGCGUGGGUGAAGAAGGCCUUCGGGUUGUAAAGCCCUUUUGUUGGGAAAGAAAAGCAGCAGGUUAAUACACCGCUGUUAUGACGGUACCCAAAGAAUAAGCACCGGCUAACUACGUG